UACGGAGGGUGCAAGCGUUAAUCGGAAUUACUGGGCGUAAAGCGUAUGCAGGCGGUCAAUUAAGUCAGAUGUGAAAGCCCCGAGCUUAACUUGGGAAUUGCAUCUGAAACUGGUUGGCUAGAGUCUUGUAGAGGGGGGUAGAAUUCCAGGUGUAGCGGUGAAAUGCGUAGAGAUGUGGAAGAACACCAGUGGCGAAGGCGGCCCGCUGGACCAAGACUGACGCUGAGGUGCGAAAGCGUGGGGAGCAAACAGG
Molecule: ribosomal RNA, 253 nt
Filed under: uncultured bacterium
Lineage: Bacteria
Description: partial 16S ribosomal RNA
Rfam family: Bacterial small subunit ribosomal RNA
Source: RNAcentral